This 376-nucleotide ribosomal RNA is filed under the name uncultured bacterium. Its description in RNAcentral is "bacterial SSU rRNA". It matches the Rfam family "Bacterial small subunit ribosomal RNA", at positions 523 to 898 of the family's 1533-position model. The record is from RNAcentral.
AUACGUAGGGAGCGAGCGUUGUCCGGAAUUACUGGGUGUAAAGGGUGCGUAGGCGGGACAGCAAGUCAGGCGUGAAAUACCGGGGCUUAACUUCGGGGCUGCGCUUGAAACUGUUGUUCUUGAGUGAAGUAGAGGCAGGCGGAAUUCCUAGUGUAGCGGUGAAAUGCGUAGAUAUUAGGAGGAACACCAGUGGCGAAGGCGGCCUGCUGGGCUUUAACUGACGCUGAGGCACGAAAGCAUGGGGAGCAAACAGGAUUAGAUACCCUGGUAGUCCAUGCCGUAAACGAUGAUAGCUAGGUGUGGGGGGACUGACCCCUUCCGUGCCGGAGUUAACACAAUAAGCUAUCCACCUGGGGAGUACGACCGCAGGGUUAAA